RNAcentral lists this ribosomal RNA (588 nucleotides) under uncultured bacterium. RNAcentral's name for it is "bacterial SSU rRNA". It matches the Rfam family "Bacterial small subunit ribosomal RNA", at positions 338 to 919 of the family's 1533-position model. The record is from RNAcentral.
CCUACGGGAGGCAGCAGUGGGGAAUUUUGGACAAUGGGCGCAAGCCUGAUCCAGCAAUGCCGCGUGCAGGAAGAAGGCCUUCGGGUUGUAAACUGCUUUUGUACGGAACGAAAAGGCUCUGGCUAAUACCUGGAGCUCAUGACGGUACCGUAAGAAUAAGCACCGGCUAACUACGUGCCAGCAGCCGCGGUAAUACGUAGGGUGCGAGCGUUAAUCGGAAUUACUGGGCGUAAAGCGUGCGCAGGCGGUGCUGUAAGACAGGCGUGAAAUCCCCGGGCUCAACCUGGGAAUUGCGCUUGUGACUGCAGCGCUGGAGUGCGGCAGAGGGGGAUGGAAUUCCGCGUGUAGCAGUGAAAUGCGUAGAUAUGCGGAGGAACACCGAUGGCGAAGGCAAUCCCCUGGGCCUGCACUGACGCUCAUGCACGAAAGCGUGGGGAGCAAACAGGAUUAGAUACCCUGGUAGUCCACGCCCUAAACGAUGUCAACUGGUUGUUGGGAAUUUACUUUCUCAGUAACGAAGCUAACGCGUGAAGUUGACCGCCUGGGGAGUACGGCCGCAAGGUUGAAACUCAAAUGAAUUGACGGGGA